This is a non-coding RNA of Benincasa hispida (wax gourd), 1076 nucleotides long. The record is from RefSeq and is a predicted model, not a curated record. NCBI's taxonomy places the organism in Eukaryota, Viridiplantae, Streptophyta, Magnoliopsida, Cucurbitales, Cucurbitaceae.
AAUAAAGAGAGAAAUAAGAAAAAAAAGAAAGACGGUGAUGAGUUGAGAAUGAGAGCGAUUUAUACCGAGGGGCUCGAGCAAACCCUAAUUUUCAUUGAUUUAAUUGUAAAGGGACGAGAGGAGGAGAAUUUCGAGCGUUACCGGAGUGAUUGGAGCUGUGGAGGUUGAGGAAUUUCAAUGAAAAGUCGGGUUAAGUCUGAAUUUCGAACAGUCUUAACAGGCUUCAGUGUUUUGAAGUUAUCGAGCUGUAGAAACCAAAUUUGAAGCUGAAAUUUUGAGGAAGACCGAGACUACACAGAAUUUCGGGCGAACAGAGAAACGUGACUUUUGGAGCUGAUUCGGUGUUAUUCAAGCGUUUUCAAAGCUUCAAAUUCUCAGAUUGACAUGAAAAAUUUAGUAAGUAGCAGCGAGGAUGAUAGAAAUAUGAUCCCACAAAAACAUUGCAGAAUAAGUAUUCCACAUGGCCCAACUACAAUGUCUAAGUUGGCACAAAUAAGAACAUCUGGGCAACAGUUGAUUAUUGAUUAUAAUGAACAUGGACAAUCGAUUGGAUUUAGAGCAAAGAAGAUGCAAAGUUAUAUAGGAGUUUGUGUUUGACAACAAAUACAUAUAACAUAUAAUUUUUGGAAAAAAGUUCCAAACCAUUUAAAAGACUAAAAUUUUAAUUCAUGUGCAUAGUAGUUUAUUAGUUUAUUGUUUAACUACUUUUUUCAUUAUGUAGAUGUCAUUUGAUGUGGACUCUAAGUCCAAACAUUGUAUACUCAUGUCUACAUUUAGGAAGUUUCGGACUUUCAAGACAACAUUGACUCAAAAGUUCAUACUUCUAUUUAAGGAUGAACCAUCGGUCUUGCAAUUUCCUCCCCAACAAUAUUCUCAUAUAGAGCAAGAUCAGUGGACAUCGUUCGUCCAUGAACGAUUGAGUGAAGAAUGGGUUGUAAGUCAUUCACAAUAAAUUAAAUGUCAACAUUAUCAUUGUUUUGAUGGGUAACUUCAACUAGAUUUGUUGUACAGGAAAUCAGUCGUCUUCAAAAAGAAAGACGUGCGAAAUGUGUAUAUAAUCAUCAUAUACUAGAUAC